GAGGGACGGAUGAAAGGAAAUCAAGGAAGAUUUUCAGAGGGCAGGUGGGGGGAGGCUGGGGACCUUCCUGUGGGGGCACAAAUCUUGUCCUGUCACUGGAGGAUGCACACAGCUCAUGGAGACCACGUCAACCACCGGCCUAAGGAAAGCAGCGGGAAAGCUAAAGUGUGACGCGGCUUAAGCAGCUUGUCUGAGUUUGCACAGCUGGCAAAUGGCUGAGCCAUGACUCACACCCAGGUCCAUCCACCGCCAAAGCUCCAGAUCUCUGGCAUCCUUCUAAGGUCAGAAAGGGAAAGAAAUCCCUAAUAAGGAGCCUGUGUGACGGCGUGCCCCCCUCCACUUUCCCACCCCUGCCAAGGACCCGUUUGAAGGCUGUUCACGCCAGUCACUGCAAUCACCAUUGAGCACAGAGAUGACAGUUCCAGCAAGCACUGACCUUCCAGCCCACUCUGCGGAGGAGAAGACUGAGGGGCAGAGAGGCUGUUGAUUUGCUGCAGUUGACUCUGACCCUAAUUUCCCGGCGCUGACUCAAACUCAUCAGGAACACUGCUUUCACUGAGUGUAUGAAGUGGUUUCUCCAUCCGUGUGGCUUUACCUGAACUCACACCGGUCCCACGGCCCAGGUGUGGAGCCGAGCACUCCCCUCUGCCUCCUCCCUGGACUGCAGGACCUGUGUCUCGCUUUAUGAAAGAGAUGCCAUUUGGGGAAGACUCGCAUUGUCGGGAGCGCUGUGGACGCUCCAGAAGGAGAUCAACACGAUGAUGACGAUGCCGGGUGGAGGGAAUGUGCACUUCUCGGGAGCCAGAAAAGAAUAAUCUGAAUGUCUCCAGCAUCAAGAAAAGACCAGUAUUGAAGGUGAUGGAUGCCUUAAUUACGCUGAUUGGAUCUUUACAAAUUAUAUUAAUGUAUUAAAUUAUUACAUGUAUGCAGAAAGUCUGUACACCUAUUAUGCACCAAUAAAAAAGAAAUUUUUUAAAGUGAGCAAA
RNAcentral lists this long non-coding RNA (986 nucleotides) under Homo sapiens (human). RNAcentral describes it as "long intergenic non-protein coding RNA 1345". Lineage: Eukaryota; Metazoa; Chordata; Mammalia; Primates; Hominidae. The record is from RNAcentral.